RNAcentral lists this ribosomal RNA (460 nucleotides) under uncultured bacterium. RNAcentral's name for it is "partial 16S ribosomal RNA". It matches the Rfam family "Bacterial small subunit ribosomal RNA", at positions 338 to 795 of the family's 1533-position model. The record is from RNAcentral.
CCUACGGGAGGCAGCAGUGAGGAAUAUUGGUCAAUGGGCGCUAGCCUGAACCAGCCAAGUAGCGUGAAGGAUGACUGCCCUAUGGGUUGUAAACUUCUUUUAUAUGGGAAUAAAGUGAAGAAUGUAUACUGCUUUGCAUGUACCUUAUGCAUCAGGAACGGCUAACUUCGUGCCAGCCGCCGAGGUAAUAUCGAGGAUCCGAGCUUUCUCCGGAUUUUUUGGGUUUAAAGGGAGCGUAGGCGGGUUGUUAAGUCAGAUUUGAAAGUUUGGGGCUCAACCUGAAAAUUGCAGUUGAUACUGGCAUCCUUGAGUACAGUAGAGGUAGGCAGAAUGCGUGGUGUAGCGGUGAAAUGCUUAGAUAUCACGAAGAACUCCGAUGGCGAAGGCAGCCUGCUGGACUGUAACUGACGCUGAUGCUCGAAAGUGUGGGUAGCAAACAGGAUUAGAUACCCCAGUAGUC